CUCGCUCAUACCGUUCUACUGCAGUGACCAGCGUCUCUAUUGAUGAUGAGAUGUUGAUUGUUAAUAAUAAACAAUAGUUAAGCAGCUGAAAUGCUUUAACCGUCCUAUCUGAAAAGUCUAAGAGACAGAACAGAUAUGAAAUAUGGUGACAGCGGAGACGAACUUGUCGGCAGGAAAAUGACUUUCGCCGUCGAGAGGCUGUGAGUAGCAAACUUGGAAGUGACUCGCCAACAGUGAGCUAUGUAGCUAUAUAGCAAGAAGGCCACCUAAACGGGUGACGCAGAGAGAAACCACGUUGCAAGAUGGAAAGCGCGCUUGGAUUAAAACCACCAACAACCUGGCGAAGAGCUGGACAUCGUGGAAAGAGGAGUUGACACUCUACCUGGUUCUUACUACACUAGAGGAUGCGGAGGAGACCGUGAAAGUGAAACUUUUCUACCAUCUCAUUGGAGAGAGUGGUAGGAAGCUGUGUGAGACAAUGACGUGUUCAAUGUCCGCGAGGUCGUCAGUGAACCAGUUUAUUGAGGCGUUUGACACGCAUUGCAACCCAAAAUUGAAUGAGACUGUUGAGAGGUCAAGGAACUGAUGAAGGAGACGAUAGGAAACUACAAAAUCCAGAUUGACCACAAGGUGGAGCCAGUGAAACUACCUAAAAGAAGAGUUCCAGUCGCAAUGAUGAAGCCAUUGAAAGAAGGCAGAGCAGCCUUCAGGACAGGAGGAUUAUUACACCGGUGGAGAAAAGAACCCGAUUGGAUAAGCAGCCUUGUGAUUGUGAAGAAACCAAAUGGUAAACUGAGAAUAUGUAUAGACCCCAGACCAUUGAACAAGGCACUAAAGAGAAGUCACUUUCCUCUACCUCUAUAGAUGCAUUCUUACUGGACCUUUUUAAAAGAAAGAGUAUUCACAGUGUGUGACGUCAAGAAUGGUUUCUGGCACAUACAGCUAGAAGAAGAGUCAAGCUAUCUGACAACAUUCUCUACACCGUGUGGCAGGUACAGAUGGUUGAAGAUGCCGAUGGGGAUUAGCCCGGCACCUGAAAUGUUCCAAAGGAAAUUGUAAGAGCAAUGAAGAAGGGUCGUGGCUGGGUCUUCCAGCAUGACAACGACCCGAAACACACAGCCAGGGCAACUAACGAGUGGCUCCGUAAGAAGCAUCUCAAGGUCCUGGAGUGGCCUAGCCAGUCUCCAGACCUGAACCCAAUAGAAAAUCUUUGGAGGGAGCUGAAAGUCCGUAUUGCCUGCCCAGCGACAGCCCCGAAACCUGAAGGAUCUGGAGAAGGUCUGUAUGGAGGAGUGGGACAAAAUCCCUGCUGCAGUGUGUGCAAACCUGGUCAAGAACUACAGGAAACGUAUGAUCUCUGUAAUUGCAAACAAAGGUUUCUGUACCAAAUAUUAAGUUCUGCAUUUCUGAUGUAUCAAAUACUUAUGUCAUGUAAUAAAAUGCAAAUGAAUUACUUAAAAAUCAUACAAUGUGAUUUUCUGAAUUUUAGAUUACGUCUCUCACAGUUGAAGUGUACCUAUGAUAAAAAUUACAGACCUCUACAUGCUUUGUAAGUAGGAAAACCUGCAAAAUCGGCAGUGUAUCAAAUACUUCUUCUCCCCACUGUAUAACAUUGAGGUUACAUAUGUUCCUGGGAAGGACAUGUUGCUUGCCGAUACUCUGAGCUGAGCAUACUUACCAGGAAGUACCACAGAAGGAUCAGUUGAAGCUGAAAUAAUUGAAAGCAUUGUGGCCCAAUACCUACACAUCUCAGAGGAGAGGCUCAAAGCUAGUCGCUCUGAAACCACAAAAGACAAGAAAAUGCAGACACUGACACAGACCAUUCAGUCGGGAUGGCCAAAGAAGAAAAUGGAUACACAGAAAGAUGUCAUACACUACUACUCAUUUCAAGACGAACUGAGUGUUCAAGUUGGAAUCAUAUUCAGAGGAGAAAGAGCAGCUAUUCCAGACACACUCAGAGGUGAAAUAACUAACCGGAUUCACUUUUCUCACAUUGGGAUUGAAGGAUGCCUCAGGAGGGCAAGAUAAUGUGUAUACUGGUAAGGCAUGAACGAACAGGUUAGGACAUUCAUAGAAAAGUGUGACGUCUGCAGGAUGCAAAAUAACAAAAAGAGACACUUUGUCCACAUGAGCUGCCUAGCCGACCAUGGGAAAAGAUAGGCACAGACCUGUUAACCUUUGACAACAGAGAUUAUCUGAUUACUUUCCAACUUCUGGGAAAUUGACUACUUACCUGUCCACUACUGUGAUCCGCAACCUUAAAUCACACUUUGCAAGGGAUACCAGACGUCUGUUUCUCUGAUAAUGGACCUCACUAUUCCUCCCAUGAUUUCAAAAGAUUCGGUGAACUGUAGGAAUUCGAACACAAGACCUCGUCACCUGAUUACCCUCAAAGUAACGGGAAAGCAUAGUCAUCCGUUAAGGGGAGGCAGGUAGCCUAGUGGUUAGAGCGUUGGACUAGUAACUGAAAGGUUGCGAGAUCGAAUCCCUGAGCUGACAAGGUGAAAAUCUGUCGUUCUGCCCCUGAAUAAGGCAGUUCACCCACUGUUCCUAGGCCGUCAUUGAAAAUAAGAAUUUGUUCUUAACGGACUUGCCUACUUAAAUAAAGGUAAAAAAAAAUCAAAUAAGACGGCAAAACGUCUGAUGCUGAAUGCCAAAACAGCAGGCAAAGACCCUUACCUGACUAUAGUGGAUCAUCGCAAUGACACGUGUUGUUGUUUUGUCUCUGCACUCCAGCACUUUGGAUUUGAAAUGAUACAAUGACUAUGAGGUUAAAGUACAGACUGUCAGCUUUAAUUUGAGGGUAUUUUCAUCCAUAUCGGGUGAAGUGUAGAGAAAUUACAGCGCUUUCGCGACAUAGUCCUCCCAUUUUAGGGGACCAAAAGUAUUGGUGUGUAUUAACGUAGUCAAAAGUUUCGAAUUUGGUCCCAUAUUCCUAGCAUGCAGUGAUUACAUCAAGCUUGUGACUCUACAAAACUUAGAUGUAUUUGUUGUUUGUUUUGGUUGUGUUUUAGAUUAUUGUGUGCCGAAUAGAAAUGAAUGGUAAAUAAUGUAGUGUCAUUUUGGAUUCACUUUUAUUGUAAAUAAGAAUAGAAUGUUUCUAUACUUAACUAAAAUAUAAACACAACAUGCAACAAUUUCAACAAUUUGACUGAGUUACAGUUCAUAUAAGGAAAUCUGUCAAUUGAAAUAAAUAAAUUAAGCCCUGAUCUAUGGAUCUUACAUGACUGGGCAGGGGCGCAGCCAUGGGUGGGCCUGGGAGGUUAUAGGCACACCCAGUUGGUAGCCAGUCCCCCCCCAGCUGUCCGGGUGGCUGGUGUCAGACGAUCCCGUAGCUGAAGAACCCAGAUGUGGGGUGGGGGGGGUCCUGAGCUGGUGUAUUUACACAUGGUGUGCAGUUGUGUGGCUGGUUGGAUGUACUGCCAAAUUCUCUAAAACGAGGUUGGAGAUGGCUCAUGGUAAACAAAUUAACAUUAAAUUAUCUGGCAACAGCUCUGGUGAACAUUCCUGCAGUCAGCAUGCCAAUUGCAUGCUCCCUCAAAACUUGAGACAUCUGUGGCAUUGUGUUGUGUGACAAAACUGCACAUUUUAGAGUGGCCUUUUAUUGUCCCCAGCACAAGGUGCACCUGUGUAAUGAUCAUGCUGUUUAAUCAGCUUCUUGAUAUGCCACACCGGUCAGGUGGAUGGAUUAUCUUGGCAAAGGAGAAAUGCUCACCAACAGGGAUGUAAAAACAAUUAUUUACAACAUUUUAGAAAAAUAUGCUUUUUGUGCGUAUGGAAAUUUCUGGGAUAUUUUAUUUCAGCUCAUGAAACAUGGGACUAACACUUUACAUGUUGCGUUUAUAUUUUGGUCAGUAUACAUUAAUGUGAAUGCUACCAUAAUUACGGAUAGUCCUAAAUGAAUCGUGAAUAAUGAUGAGUGAGAAAGUUAGACGCACAAUAUCAUACCCCACCCAAAAAUGCUAACCUCUCCUGUUAUGGUAAUAGGGAAAGGUUAGCAUGUCUUCGGGGUACGAUAUUUGAAUUCAGGCUGUAACACAAAAUGUGAAAUAACACAACUUGAUGGCAGUAGCUAACUACUGUAGCUAUAUAGCCAGCAAGCGAAAUAAUUGCAAAUGGGUUAGCAUCUAAAUACUAUCACGUUAGGAACGUAUUUCCUCCAAUGAAAAGGUGCCUUGGUCCCAAAACACACUUUUUCUGGAGACUUGUGGGCAGAGUGCUGAUGACGUCUCCCACUGUAUGCACUUUUGGUAGCCUGAUUGCAUCCAGACUGAGGAGAAAUCUGCACAAAAUGAGUCCCUGACCCCCUCCUGAGGUGGUCGGACAGAUCUGAACACAAUCAAACCACAAAGCAACUUUUGUGCAUCUAGACCUGUCUUUUCAAUGUGAUCUUCGUAUUCGGAUAGCAGAAGUUGCAUGUACGUGUCAAAGUGUAGACACGGCCUGAUAUGAUUGUAUCCUGCGGUAUGAGCCUCUUGUCUUCCUACCCUAGGCUGAGUUAGCAGUUAAGCCCUGGGCUCCACUUUAUCAACUCAGAUCACCCCUCUCUGUCUAUCUCUACUUGCCAAAGAGGUUAGCUCACUCCUUCCUACUGUUAACACUUUAUGUGUAGUUUGUGACAAGAUAUACUAUGCGUCAGUAGGGGCUAUUUUUUGUGUACAACACCAAAUGAGCAAUCCAUUAUUUAUUAAUAGUCUGCUCUGCACUAUUUUAGCGUGGCCUGGCUCUUACUACGCGUUAUCUCGCCUUUCACGCUGAAUACGUUCAGCCACGGGGUAUAAUGGCGGCUGGUCCUCCCUUUCUAGUUGACCAGACAACAGCCUCACGGGUGAGUCACACUCGCUAAGUAUAGGGUGUCAGCUAAGACUAAUUUCAUGAAAUUAAUUCUUAGCUGAAAGCAGGGGUUCAGCACUUUGUCAUUCAGUGCUCCUUUUGUGUGUUUUUUACAGUUACCCUCAAGCUCCUCUGUGGUUUCCUGAUCGAGCCCACAAUAUGGUCUGACUGCGGGACACCUAAGGUGAACCCCCUGAGCAUGUAGUUGUUAUAAUGCUACAUUUCUUCUUCAGCACUUAAUUCAUCAAAUCAUUUAACUAGUUAUUGAAAACCAGUAACACUUCUUUUUGGGUUCCACAGUUUCAUCAUUUAUGGAUUUUAUAGUUUUUUUUUAUAUACCAAUUGCAAUGCAGUAGCUUCUAACAACAGUAAUCUAUUUAUUUUCUUACCUAACCCAACAAAUAAUUUUAACUUCUAAUACAACAAUCAUCAAAAUAAAAGCUAGACUGUCAGGGAGAACUGAUAAUUCAAAAAACAAUUAAUUUAGCAGUAUUGAUUUUGUUAUUAUUCUUGCGCAAAAUAACACUGCAUUAGCUAUGGCGAAAUGCAUAGAACUGCAGGAAAUUAGCUUUAAAAUGUUAACAAUUUCUCUUAGCUUUAUGGAGAAAUUUGUAGAAUUGCAGGAAACUGGCUUAAAUAUUUUUUUUAAAUGAUCAAAUGAGUUAAAUUGAAAACUGAAAUACCUUACCUACAUAAGUAUUCAGACCCUUUGCUAUGAGACUCAAAAUUGAGCUCAGGUGCAUCCUGUUUCCAUUGAUCAUCCUUGAGAUGUUUCUGUUUCUGUUUCUAACUUGAUUGGAAUCCACCUGUGGAAAAUUAAAUUGUUUGGACAUGAUUUGGAAAGGUACACACCUGUCUACAUAAGGUAUGACAGUUGACAGUGCAUGUCAUCGCAAAAACCAAGGCAUGAGGUCGAAGGAAUUGUCCAUAGAGCUCCGAGACAGUAUUGUGUCGAGGCACAGAUUUGGGGAAGGGUACCAAAACAUUUCUGCAGCAUUGAAGGUCCCCAUAAACACAGUGGCCUCCAUCAUUCUUAAAUGGAAGAACUUUGGAACCACCAAGACUCUUCCUAGAGCUGGCCACCCGGCCAAACUGAGCAAUCGGGGCAGAAGUGCCUUGGUCAGGGAGGUGACAAAGAACCCGAUGGUUACUCUGACAAAGCUCUAGAGUUCCUCUGUGGAGAUGUCCUUCUGGAAGGUUCUCACAAGCAUCUCUGCAUCACUCCACUAACCAGGCCUUUACUGUAGAGUGGCCAGACGGAAGCCACUCCUCAGUAAAAGGCACAUGACAGCCCGUUUGGAGUUUGCCAUAAGGCACCUAGAGGAUUCUCAACCCAUGAAAAACAAGAUUCUCUGGUCUGAUGAAACCAAGAUUGAACAAUUUGGCAUGAAUGCCAAGCGUCACGUCUGGAGGAAACCAGGCACCGCUCAUCACCUGGCCAAUACCAUCCCUACUGUGAAGCAUGGUGGUGGCAGCAUCAUGCUGUGGGGAUGUUUUUCAGUGGCAGGCACUGGGAGACUAGUCAGAAUCAAGGGAAAGAUUAACGGAGAAAACCUGCUCAGGACCGCAGACUGGGGGCGAAGAUUCAUCCUUUCAACAGGACAACGACCCUAAGCACACAGCCAAGACAACGCAGGAGUGGCUUUGGGACAAGUCUGAAUGUCCUUGAGUGGCCCAGCCAGAGGCCGGACUUGAACCCGAUCGAUCAUCUCUGGAGAGACCUGAAAAUAGCUGUGCAGCAACGCUCCCCAUACAACCUGACAGAGCUUGAGAGGAUCUGCAGAGAAGAAUUGGAGAAACUCCCCAAAUACAGGUGUGCCAAGCUUGUAGCAUCAUACCCAAGAAGACUCGUGACUGUAAUCGCUUCCAAAGAUGCUUCAACAAAGUACUGAGUAAAGGGUCUAAAUACUUAUAUAAAUGUGUUAUAUAUAUAUUUUUUUUAUUUAUCAGUCGAAAAUCAUGUUUUUGUUUUGUCAUUAUGGUGUAUUGUGUGUAGAUUGAGGGGAAAAAACAAUUUGAUCAAUUUUCGAAUAAGGGUGUAAUGUAACAAAAUGUGGAAAAAGAGAAGGGGUCUGAAUACUUUCCGAAUGCAUUGUAACAAAGUAUGCUCGUCUGUUUUUUUGUGUUUUGUUGCUAUACAUUUUAUCGUAAUUUUUAUUUUUGGGGGGCUGGUAAAACAUUUGAGUAGUGGGUCGAUUUUUUUAGAUGUUUAUUUUAUGCCCUGGUAUAUACCGUAUACCGGGGUAUUUGGAAAUAUCCACGGUAUGGUUUUUCAAUACCUUCAAUAGCGUUGAAACUAUUUAUUUGUAGCUACUUUUUAAGUAAAUACCUGCAGUAAACUUGUGCAAUACGUUAGGCGAUAAAGCAGAUCGCAUUCUUCAUUUCACUGGUCACACCGUCUUUGUUUACAAGCACACAAUGACCAGAGACCCGGAGCCUUGAGUCACAGCAUGCGCCAGGUGAUCUAGUUACAGUAUGGAAUUCACAACUAAAUGUUUACCAACUAGAUGGCUUAUAACUAAGUUAAUGGUUUAAAAUGUGCUAAAUGCUCUGCAGUUGUGCAUUUGGUUUGCUAAUUCAGUAGCUUGUUAUCUAGCUAGGUAAGUGGUUUGCUUCUUACCUGCAUAUAGCUUGAAUUCUUGUAUUUAAUUUUUUCUUGUGUUUCUCAUGUGUUUUCUUACCUAUAUUAUUACAUAUAUUAUUUCCUCUCACCUUGAUAUUGAAUACUGCAUUGUUGGGAAAGAGCUUGCAAGUAAACAUUUUACUGUACUGUUUUACACCUGCUGCUGUAUCCUGGUGCACGUGACAAAUACACUUUGAAACUUAAAAUGUG
Long non-coding RNA from Salvelinus fontinalis (brook trout), 7666 nucleotides. RefSeq lists it as uncharacterized. The record is from RefSeq and is a predicted model, not a curated record. The transcript is spliced from 2 exons. Lineage: Eukaryota; Metazoa; Chordata; Actinopteri; Salmoniformes; Salmonidae.